RNAcentral lists this ribosomal RNA (535 nucleotides) under Trigonopterus sp. 850 AR-2022a. RNAcentral's name for it is "partial large subunit ribosomal RNA". It matches the Rfam family "Bacterial large subunit ribosomal RNA", at positions 1860 to 2625 of the family's 2925-position model. The record is from RNAcentral. Lineage: Eukaryota; Metazoa; Arthropoda; Insecta; Coleoptera; Curculionidae.
GGCCUGUUGAUUAUGAUUUCAGGUCUAGCCUGCCCUAUGAGUAGUUAAAUGGCCGCGGUAUACUGACCGUGCAAAGGUAGCAUAAUCAUUAGUUUUUUAAUUGAAAGCUUGUAUGAAAGGUUUGAUGAGGAAAUUUCUGUCUCUGUGGAAAUUUAUUAGAAUUUUAUUUUUAAGUGAAAAAGCUUAAAUUAUCAUAGAAGACGAGAAGACCCUAUAGAGUUUUAUAUUUUAUUAGAUUUUGGAUAAAUUGGUAUAUAUAAUUUGGGAAUUAAUACAGUAUUUUGUUGGGGUGAUAGGAAAAUUUAAUUAACUUUUCUUUAUAUAAACAUUUAUUUGUGAUUUUAUGAGCCUAGUGUUUAGAUUAAAAGAUAAAAUUACCUUAGGGAUAACAGCGUAAUCUUUUUUAGAGUUCUUAUCGAAAAAAUGGGUUGCGACCUCGAUGUUGGAUUAAAAUUUAUUGCUGGUGUAGAAGCUGGUAAAUUAGGUCUGUUCGACCUUUAAAAUUUUACAUGAUCUGAGUUUAAACCGGUGUGAG